This 793-nucleotide ribosomal RNA is filed under the name uncultured bacterium. RNAcentral describes it as "bacterial SSU rRNA". It matches the Rfam family "Bacterial small subunit ribosomal RNA", at positions 8 to 796 of the family's 1533-position model. The record is from RNAcentral.
AGAGUUUGAUCCUGGCUCAGAUUGAACGCUGGCGGCAGGCCUAACACAUGCAAGUCGAGCGGAUGAGUGGAGCUUGCUCCAUGAUUCAGCGGCGGACGGGUGAGUAAUGCCUAGGAAUCUGCCUGGUAGUGGGGGACAACGUUUCGAAAGGAACGCUAAUACCGCAUACGUCCUACGGGAGAAAGCAGGGGACCUUCGGGCCUUGCGCUAUCAGAUGAGCCUAGGUCGGAUUAGCUAGUUGGUGAGGUAAAGGCUCACCAAGGCGACGAUCCGUAACUGGUCUGAGAGGAUGAUCAGUCACACUGGAACUGAGACACGGUCCAGACUCCUACGGGAGGCAGCAGUGGGGAAUAUUGGACAAUGGGCGAAAGCCUGAUCCAGCCAUGCCGCGUGUGUGAAGAAGGUCUUCGGAUUGUAAAGCACUUUAAGUUGGGAGGAAGGGCAGUAAGCUAAUACCCUGCUGUUUUGACGUUACCGACAGAAUAAGCACCGGCUAACUUCGUGCCAGCAGCCGCGGUAAUACGAAGGGUGCAAGCGUUAAUCGGAAUUGCCGGGCGUAAAGCGCGCGUAGGUGGUUCAGCAAGUUGGAUGUGAAAGCCCCGGGCUCAACCUGGGAACUGCAUCCAAAACUACUGAGCUAGAGUACGGUAGAGGGUGGUGGAAUUUCCUGUGUAGCGGUGAAAUGCGUAGAUAUAGGAAGGAACACCAGUGGCGAAGGCGACCACCUGGACUGAUACUGACACUGAGGUGCGAAAGCGUGGGGAGCAAACAGGAUUAGAUACCCCGGUAGUCC